RNAcentral lists this ribosomal RNA (580 nucleotides) under Clostridioides difficile. RNAcentral describes it as "bacterial SSU rRNA". It matches the Rfam family "Bacterial small subunit ribosomal RNA", at positions 963 to 1533 of the family's 1533-position model. Lineage: Bacteria; Bacillati; Bacillota; Clostridia; Peptostreptococcales; Peptostreptococcaceae. The record is from RNAcentral.
GAAGAACCUUACCUAAGCUUGACAUCCCAAUGACAUCUCCUUAAUCGGAGAGUUCCCUUUGGGGACAUUGGUGACAGGUGGUGCAUGGUUGUCGUCAGCUCGUGUCGUGAGAUGUUGGGUUAAGUCCCGCAACGAGCGCAACCCUUGUCUUUAGUUGCCAUCAUUAAGUUGGGCACUCUAGAGAGACUGCCAGGGAUAACCUGGAGGAAGGUGGGGAUGACGUCAAAUCAUCAUGCCCCUUAUGCUUAGGGCUACACACGUGCUACAAUGGGUAGUACAGAGGGUUGCCAAGCCGUAAGGUGGAGCUAAUCCCUUAAAGCUACUCUCAGUUCGGAUUGUAGGCUGAAACUCGCCUACAUGAAGCUGGAGUUACUAGUAAUCGCAGAUCAGAAUGCUGCGGUGAAUACGUUCCCGGGUCUUGUACACACCGCCCGUCACACCACGGGAGUUGGAGACGCCCGAAGCCGAUUAUCUAACCUUUUGGAAGAAAUCGUCGAAGGUGGAAUCAAUAACUGGGGUGAAGUCGUAACAAGGUAGCCGUAUCGGAAGGUGCGGCUGGAUCACCUCCUUUCUAAGGAGA